CGGGAUGUGGCGCAGCUUGGUAGCGCAUCUGCUUUGGGAGCAGAGGGUCGCAGGUUCAAAUCCUGUCAUCCCGACC
Molecule: transfer RNA, 76 nt
Filed under: Sediminivirga luteola
Lineage: Bacteria; Bacillati; Actinomycetota; Actinomycetes; Micrococcales; Brevibacteriaceae
Description: tRNA-Pro
Rfam family: tRNA
About the family: Transfer RNA (tRNA) molecules are approximately 80 nucleotides in length.
Source: RNAcentral